GUGCUCGGGCGGGCCGCCCUGGGUUUACCGUUGUUACGACUUAGCCCCAGUCUGCCUGGUUUUACCCUAAUCUGCCUGCCUUUGCAGCUAACGCCUUCAGGUCCACCCUGACUUCCCAUGGCUUUGACUGGGCGGUGUGUACAAGGUCCGGGAACGUAUUCAUCCGCGCUCAUGGCUUGACUGCGUCGAUUACUAGCGAUUCCAUGCUUCAUGAGGGUCGUGAGCUGUGCAGCCCUCAAUCUCGAACCUGAGACCAGCUUUUUGAGAUUGUGCUGCCCCUGUUCGCCAGGUGGCUACCCUUUGUUACGUGCCAUUGUUAGCACGUGUGUCUGCCCUGGGCGUAAGGGUCCAUGAUGACUUACCUCGUCCCCCCCUUCCUCUCUGCUUCGUCAGGCAGUAUAUCAGAGUCCCAACUUUACUUCUGCAACUAAAUACAGGGUUUCGU
Molecule: ribosomal RNA, 445 nt
Filed under: uncultured Alphaproteobacteria bacterium
Lineage: Bacteria; Pseudomonadati; Pseudomonadota; Alphaproteobacteria
Description: partial 16S ribosomal RNA
Source: RNAcentral